AUUGAACGCUGGUCGGCAUGCCUUACUACAUGCAAGUCGAACGGUAACAGGUCUUCGGAUGCUGACGAGUGGCGAACGGGUGAGUAAUACAUCGGAACGUGCCCGAUCGUGGGGGAUAACGGAGCGAAAGCUUUGCUAAUACCGCAUACGAUCUACGGAUGAAAGCAGGGGACCGCAAGGCCUUGCGCGGACGGAGCGGCCGAUGGCAGAUUAGGUAGUUGGUGGGAUAAAAGCUUACCAAGCCGACGAUCUGUAGCUGGUCUGAGAGGACGACCAGCCACACUGGGACUGAGACACGGCCCAGACUCCUACGGGAGGCAGCAGUGGGGAAUUUUGGACAAUGGGCGCAAGCCUGAUCCAGCCAUGCCGCGUGCAGGAUGAAGGCCUUCGGGUUGUAAACUGCUUUUGUACGGAACGAAAAGACUCUUUCUAAUAAAGAGGGUCCAUGACGGUACCGUAAGAAUAAGCACCGGCUAACUACGUG
This 484-nucleotide ribosomal RNA is filed under the name uncultured bacterium. Its description in RNAcentral is "bacterial SSU rRNA". It matches the Rfam family "Bacterial small subunit ribosomal RNA", at positions 30 to 507 of the family's 1533-position model. The record is from RNAcentral.